AGCUUUAAGUAUUAUCUUUAAAGUUUUACCUGCUCAAUGUUGUUUAAUGAAUAGCCGCGGUACAUUGACCGUGCAAAGGUAGCAUAAUUAAUUGGUUUUUAAUUGGGGCCUUGUAUGAAUGGAGUUACGGAUCCUAACUGUCUUUGGUUUACUUUUUCGAAAUUACUUUUUUGGUGAAAAAGCCUUUUUUAGCAAAAAGACGAGAAGACCCUAAGAAUUAUAUUGAAGACACUGUUUUUAGGUAUUAAAAUUUUGUUGGGGCAACAUAAAAGCAUUUUAAUCUUUUAAAUAAAAAUUUUUUUGUUUUGUAGUAAUUUUAAAAUUACCUUAGGGAUAACAGCAUAAUUUUAGUGAUAAGUUUGUGACCUCGAUGUUGGAUUGGGGACUUGAAGGAUUAGUAAUUGUUCAAUGAUGUUCUGUUCGAACAAUAUUCCCC
This 436-nucleotide ribosomal RNA is filed under the name Vayssierea sp. ZSM Mol 20071333. Its description in RNAcentral is "partial 16S ribosomal RNA". Lineage: Eukaryota; Metazoa; Mollusca; Gastropoda; Nudibranchia; Okadaiidae. The record is from RNAcentral.